UCGGGAAUUUUGGGCAAUGGGCGAAAGCCUGACCCAGCAACGCCGCGUGAAGGAUGAAGUAUUUCGGUAUGUAAACUUCGUAAGAAUAGGAAGAAUAAAUGACGGUACUAUUUGUAAGGUCCGGCUAACUACGUGCCAGCAGCCGCGGUAAUACGUAGGGACCAAGCGUUGUUCGGAUUUACUGGGCGUAAAGAGUUCGUAGGCUGAUAGUUAAGUCAGGGGUGAAAUCCUGGGGCUCAACCCCAGAACUGCCUUUGAUACUGGCUGUCUCGAGGUCGAGAGAGGUUGGUGGAAUUCCUAGUGUAGAGGUGAAAUUCGUAGAUAUUAGGAAGAACACCAGUGGCGAAGGCGGCCAACUGGCUCGAUACUGACGCUGAGGUGCGAAAGCGUGGGGAGCAAACAGGAUUAGAUACCCCGGUAGUCCCUGAGCGGGCUGGCAAGGCGCAU
Molecule: ribosomal RNA, 447 nt
Filed under: uncultured bacterium
Lineage: Bacteria
Description: bacterial SSU rRNA
Rfam family: Bacterial small subunit ribosomal RNA
Source: RNAcentral